This is a long non-coding RNA of Drosophila ficusphila, 668 nucleotides long. RefSeq lists it as uncharacterized. The record is from RefSeq and is a predicted model, not a curated record. The transcript is spliced from 3 exons. NCBI's taxonomy places the organism in Eukaryota, Metazoa, Arthropoda, Insecta, Diptera, Drosophilidae.
UACCGCGUGGUGGAUUGCUGUUUUCGUACUGUUGCUUUCUUAUCACGGAUCGGCCCAAUUUUUAGAGGACAAUUGUGGAAUCAUUAAUCCAUAUCUCGAUGCUAAAUGGAUUUCCCCACCUUGGUUGGCAGAGAUUCGAACAGAUUCAAAAAAAAUAUGCGCUGCCAGCCUUAUUAACCGAAAUUACGUCCUGACAGCUGCAAGUUGCAUAAAAAACCAUACGGAACUCAUCGUCCGCUUAGGAAACUAUAACAGUCAUGAGGACUUGUAUGUAACAAAUGUAUUCGUGCACAAGUCUUAUUCGGCCAGCAGUUUUGAGCACGAUAUUUGCCUUCUUCGGCUGGAAACGGAAGUUGAAUUUAAGGCACAUAUACAACCGAUAUGCAUUUCAAGAAGCACGGAAAACAAACCCAGGGCCUACAGCUAUGAGAUAUUCAACGAGAAGCCCAGAAUAGGCGAUUGGUGCUCGAUCAAGGUUAUUUUUGGCAGCCGUUGUGCAAGUGAUAAGGAAAAAGAAUAUUUAGAUUCUGUGAUUAUUGGGAGUCCUUCGACCCGAACAAUUCCAUUUGGACCCUUACUACGCUACGAACUACAGGGAAUCCUUAGUCAUCGCAAUCCCAAAACAUUUGCUGACGUGUAUAUUAAUGUUUCGGCGUAUGCCGACUGGA